This 26-nucleotide non-coding RNA is filed under the name Rattus norvegicus (Norway rat). Lineage: Eukaryota; Metazoa; Chordata; Mammalia; Rodentia; Muridae. The record is from RNAcentral.
UAGACCAGAGGCUUCUAUUUCCACCA